AAUAUUGCGCAAUGGAGGGAACCCUGACGCAGCAACGCCGCGUGAGUGACGAAGGNCUNNGGGUCNUNAAGCUCUGUCAUUAGNNNNNAAAGAAAUGACAGUACCUAAGGAGGAAGCCCCGGCUAACUACGUGCCAGCAGCCGCGGUAAUACGUAGGGGGCGAGCGUUGUCCGGAAUUACUGGGCGUAAAGGGCGUGUAGGCGGCUGAUUAAGUCAGAUGUGGAAGGCCCCGGCUUAACCGGGGUAUUGCAUUUGAAACUGGUUAGCUUGAGUGCAGGAGAGGAAAGUGGAAUUCCUAGUGUAGCGGUGAAAUGCGUAGAUAUUAGGAGGAACACCAGUGGCGAAGGCGACUUUCUGGACUGCAACUGACGCUGAGGCGCGAAAGCGUGGGUAGCGAAC
Molecule: ribosomal RNA, 399 nt
Filed under: uncultured bacterium
Lineage: Bacteria
Description: partial 16S ribosomal RNA
Rfam family: Bacterial small subunit ribosomal RNA
Source: RNAcentral